This 637-nucleotide long non-coding RNA is filed under the name Marmota monax (woodchuck). Lineage: Eukaryota; Metazoa; Chordata; Mammalia; Rodentia; Sciuridae. The record is from RNAcentral.
CUUGCAAUGUUAGUCCUGCACCUUAUGAAAUAGCCACCAAAUGAAACAUAUGCUUUGUUGAAACUUUGCUGUUAUGAAAGUAUUUCUUUUCUUGUUAUUACUGGCUGAGAAUUUCUUCCAGAUGCUUCCCCAACUUAGGAUACCUUGGCAAUUCCAUUAGAGCUUGUAAUCCUAGACAGUGUGGGUAUACUUAGAACUGGCAGGACCAGCAUAGCCACUUCCAGGAUCAAUUUGUGGGAAAGGCCUUUAAGAAGCGGAUUUGUAUCAGAUUGUGAUAUAAAUCAAUAAAAAGAGCUUUCUAUCUAAUAAAUGUUUAGAAAAUGUAUUUUUAGAGCUUGAACUGUUAGAAGCCUGUAACCCAAGAGUAGGAUUACAUAGGCUAUGCCGGGCAAUAUUUGAUGUACUUUUCCUAUUGGCACAAUAGAAUUUAAGAAUUUGAAAAGCAGGUAUAGUAUUUUAAAUAAUUAAUUAAUUAAUUUUUGCAGUGCUGGAUAUCAAACUUAAGACCCUGAGCAUGCCAGGCAAGUAUUGCACCACUGAGUUCCAUCCCAUUCCGUUUUUAAACAAAAUGUACCUUAUACACUGAGGACCUUAUGCACAUUUAUUCAAUACACCUUAGCAGAGGCUUGCCAUUUAC